RNAcentral lists this ribosomal RNA (253 nucleotides) under uncultured bacterium. RNAcentral's name for it is "partial 16S ribosomal RNA". It matches the Rfam family "Bacterial small subunit ribosomal RNA", at positions 524 to 776 of the family's 1533-position model. The record is from RNAcentral.
UACGUAGGGGGCGAGCGUUGUCCGGAUUUAUUGGGCGUAAAGAGCGUGUAGGCGGCUGGAUAGGUCCGUUGUGAAAACUCGAGGCUCAACCUCGAGACGCCGAUGGAAACCAUCCAGCUAGAGUCCGGAAGAGGAGAGUGGAAUUCCCGGUGUAGCGGUGAAAUGCGCAGAUAUCGGGAAGAACACCCGUGGCUAAGGCGGCUCUCUAGUAUGGUACUGACGCUGAGACGCGAAAGCGUGGGGAGCGAACAGG